Molecule: long non-coding RNA, 1300 nt
Organism: Podarcis raffonei (Aeolian wall lizard)
Lineage: Eukaryota; Metazoa; Chordata; Lepidosauria; Squamata; Lacertidae
Exons: 3
Source: RefSeq, a predicted model, not a curated record
ACCUAUUUAUCUACUUGCACUUUGACGUGCUUUCGAACUGCUAGGUUGGCAGGAGCAGGGACUGAGCAACGGGAGCUCACCCCGUCAUGGGGAUUCGAACUGCUGACCUUCUGAUCGGCAAGUCCUAGGUUCUGUGGUUUAACCCACAGCACCACCCGCGUCCCUUCAAAUGUUCAUAAACUGCACUUUCGGAAUGUGAGUGUGUGUAAGCGAAGACAGAGGCGUCAGCAAUGCAAAUAGAAAAGCUUCAAUAGCAUAUCCAUAAACUUGACUGGUAAAACAAAAUGGAAGUUCCUAAGGCCCAUCCAAACACCUCCCACCAGUCUUCUGUUGGCAGGGAGUUCCACAGGGCAGCGUUGGCUCACACUAAAGGCUCAGUGCCCUGGUGAAGGCCAACCCCAGGGGCAUGGGCAACUGCCACAUGGUAUGCUGCCAUCUUUGGCAAUCACUUGUAGCCAGGUAAGAUGGACUUCCAUGAACACAGUCUUGACAGUGAGGCCGUAAGUGACCAUGGAGGCCGAUUCUGGAUCCACCCAUCCUUCCACAGUGGAGACGUUUCCAGGUGGGAGUUGAUCACAGUGAGGGUUUGCCAAACAUGCUGCCAUAUGCAGGACUAAACAGCAUCCUGCCCCACAACUCUUAACGAGGCUCUGGCCUAUUUUGUUUGCAGUUGUUGCCCUGUUCAAGACGAAGCAAGAAGUAUUCAUAUGGCAAAUAUAAACACCCCAGAUUGAUCAGACUUCCCCCUUGGCAGGGGUGCCAUUGAGACUCCCAGUGUGUGUUUAUGUGUGGAGGAGGUGCCAGAAAGGGUCUUUUGACUCAUGUGAAAUAAAGCCUAGUUUCGCCCCUGCCCUUGGGCAUUUGGGGCUUUUCUAGGCUUCAGCAGUCAGAAUGCUACUAGCCCAGAGAUGGAAGGAAGAAGUACCAACAGAAGAACAAUGGCAGAUGAAAUUGAUGCAGUAUGCAGAAAUGGCGAAACUGACUGGGAAGAUCCGAAACCAGGAAGAUCAAGUAUUUUCUAAAGACUGGACUUCCCCCUCUCUACCUAUUCAUCUGCCAUCCGAGGAUAACACUCCAUUCAUCAAAUGUGAUGGACUCUACUCCAGAUAAGCUUAUAGCCACAGUGAUGGAACUGAAUUAAAUACACACCUUCAGAAAAGAAGCUACUUGUUUGGCGGAGAUGCCUUCGACUUUCCCAAGGUCCUCUACCUGAGAAAAGGAGGAAGGAGAAAUGUGUAGGUUACACAAAGUUGCAAAGUCAUGGAGAUACUUAAUUAUUGAAUUUGUAUACCACCCCUCA